This 253-nucleotide ribosomal RNA is filed under the name uncultured bacterium. Its description in RNAcentral is "partial 16S ribosomal RNA". It matches the Rfam family "Bacterial small subunit ribosomal RNA", at positions 524 to 776 of the family's 1533-position model. The record is from RNAcentral.
CACGAACUGCGCAAACGUUAUUCGGAAUCACUGGGCUUAAAGAGUCCGUAGGCGGCUCGGUAGGUGAGGUGUGAAAUCCCACGGCUCAACCGUGGAAUUGCGCUUCAAACCACCGGGCUUGAGGGAGAUAGAGGAGAGCGGAACUGAUGGUGGAGCGGUGAAAUGCGUUGAUAUCAUCAGGAACACCGGUGGCGAAAGCGGCUCUCUGGGUCUCUUCUGACGCUGAGGGACGAAAGCUAGGGGAGCGAACGGG